GCGCGAGUGCAAAGAAAGGANCUUGCUCCUUUGACGUUAGCGGCGGACGGGUGAGUAACACGUGGGCAACCUACCCUAUAGUUUGGGAUAACUCCGGGAAACCGGGGCUAAUACCGAAUAAUCUCUUUUACUUCAUGGUGAAAGACUGAAAGACGGUUUCGGCUGUCGCUAUAGGAUGGGCCCGCGGCGCAUUANCUAGUUGGUGAGGUAACGGCUCACCAAGGCGACGAUGCGUAGCCGACCUGAGAGGGUGAUCGGCCACACUGGGACUGAGACACGGCCCAUACUCCUACGGGAGGCAGCAGUAGGGAAUCUUCCACAAUGGGCGAAAGCCUGAUGGAGCAACGCCGCGUGAGUGAAGAAGGUUUUCGGAUCGUAAAACUCUGUUGUAAGGGAAGAACAAGUACAGUAGUAACUGGCUGUACCUUGACGGUACCUUAUUAGAAAGCCACGGCUAACUACGUGCCAGCAGCCGCGGUAAUACUUAGUGGCAAGCGUUGUCCGGAAUUAUUGGGCGUAAAGCGCGCGCAGGCGGUCCUUUAAUCUGAUGUGAAAGCCCACCGCUCACCGUGGAGGUCAUUGGAACUGGGGGACUUGAGUGCAAA
This 605-nucleotide ribosomal RNA is filed under the name Bacillus sp. HPC40. RNAcentral describes it as "bacterial SSU rRNA". It matches the Rfam family "Bacterial small subunit ribosomal RNA", at positions 64 to 652 of the family's 1533-position model. The record is from RNAcentral. Lineage: Bacteria; Bacillati; Bacillota; Bacilli; Caryophanales; Bacillaceae.